This is a long non-coding RNA of Onychostruthus taczanowskii (white-rumped snowfinch), 1563 nucleotides long. RefSeq lists it as uncharacterized. The transcript has 4 exons. NCBI's taxonomy places the organism in Eukaryota, Metazoa, Chordata, Aves, Passeriformes, Passeridae. The record is from RefSeq and is a predicted model, not a curated record.
UCUCUCUUUCUCUGAGAAGAAGAGGGCUGCUGUGAGCCUUAUUUCACUGUGAUGAAGUUAUUUCUACUGGACAGUGUGAAAAACAAAUCGGAGAGUCUUAGAUACCAUCUCUUGAAGAGAAUGAAUCUGGAUUCAGUGCAGCUGGAUGUAGAAAGCUGAGGCCUAGCAACAACUGCAGGCAGCAGUUACUAUUCCAGUUGUUCAUCUUCAUCUUCUUUUUACAGAAGUACCGAUCUAGUUGACUACAUGGAUUUGCAACCAGCAGCUCAGCAGCUGCUUCAUGAACCAUCCUUCCAGGACGGGAACAUCACAAAGAUGGAUUCCUUUAGCAAGGAAGAUAUGACAGGUUGUGAUAUUGGACUGCAGUGAAGUUCCGCCGCUGCUGUUCUACCCUUCGUGAGUGAGCACUGCUGGGCUGUGCAGCUGACAAGCUCGUGCCCUUUUUUUGGGAGUAGGCUGAAUCAAGCCUCUGUCAAGAAGCACAGCUGAAACACUGAAUUAACAUACCCAAGACAAGCACAUCAGGAGGAUAGCCUUCUACCAAGAAUAAUGUGGAGAUAUACCUUGUUCACGGAAGCUCUGGAAACAUCGUGAGACUUGGACAGACACAAUGCAUCCUCAGAAGGCAGAGAUGUUGCUGCUCUCUGAGCAUUGCACACUCUGUGUUCAUGCCUGAUGGAAAUAAUGCCCAGUUUUGGGGGAGCUUGGUGGUAUGGGAGACAGUCACAGCAGCUCUAAUAGGGUGGCUUAUCACUUUCUUGUGAAGCCAGGUACAGAUUCUGUUCUCUUUUACACCCACAAAUCUGGUAUAAUAUUAAUUAGAUUGUCAUUAGGUUGCAUUAGUGAAGAUCCAUAAAGCAAAAAAAGGAAAGGUUCUAGACUCAUGCUAUAACUUGGUAUGUCAUUUGUAUGAAGGGGGUGAACAGAGAUCAUUAGCCAUGAAACACUGCUUUUCCAGAAAUAUGAAAUAUUUAGGUAAAAUAUCUAGGUAAAAUCUAACAAAAAUUUGAUUACUGCCUGAUAAAAUGGUGUCACUUCCCUUCUAAAUAGAUUUGAUCAUCUCCUUAAUGCAAGCCCUGCACCUUCACCUAGAUUCCUUUCCAGGCAGCUACAGUGGACCUGCUCACCAAUGGAAUUUGUCCCACUGGAUUCUUUUUUUUUUUUUUUUUCUGUGCAGUUGAAUGAAAAGUGUGUGUCUUUUGAAGAACAGCAACUGAAAGAAAUAUUGAUGACUGCCAGGGCAUCUACAGAAAAAGAUAAGAAAAUUACUCUACUACAACAGUGAAGACAAAGGGGCUUUGUUAACACUUUCUUGUAGGUUGUAUAUAUUAAUAGUAACAAGUAAAGUUUUGUAUUUUUUCAGAGAAACACACAAGGCCUUGAAUUGUAUUGUUUUAAUUGCAACUAACUGAAUGAAUUAAGUGGAAAAUUGCACACAGUACUUUGAUUGUCUAAUUCUCUGUAUGUGAGGCUUUGGGAACAGUUUGUUAUUAUAAAAGAACAGCACUAACCAGAAAUCAGCCAACAUGUAAUUGCUAGGCUGAGGGGCAGUUUGGGGAGAGC